ACCGACGAGGGAUACAGGUAAGCCCGUGCCCCGAUCACCUCCGCCUCCCGGAUCCGAGCCGCGCCCCAAUCUCCACCGCCUCCUGUCUCUGAGCUCCGAUUUGAUCCACCGCGUGUACGAGAGGCGGCUCGGAAUGUGGGCCGGAGGGCGAGGCGGUGCCUCUUGAAGCAGUGGCGAGCGACCGACCUAGCGCGGGCCUCACCGGCCGAUGCGGAGAGUUCAUCCGUCGUGUUUUUAAGGCGAGGAGUCGAGCAGUUUUCCGUUUCAUUUAGGAAUUAAUGGCAGCCGAGGGAGCACCGUGGCGGCGGAUGGUAGAGGUUGUGGUAUUUUGGUUUGGGGACUAUUGGAGGCUGGUUCUGGAAUUUUUCAGGAAGAGGAAUUCAUGAGCCGGCUAGAUUUUUUUUGAGAAAAGGCGUAUUGCCAUCUUACAUCGCCCCAAGGGCAGGAUUACACUCGUUUGCUAGAACCUCUCGUAGGUCAUAUGGGACAUCUGCUACAUACAUAGCAUCCCCUGUCCUCCUUGCAUAUGCGGCCAUUUCAUGAGCCAAUUUGUUCCUGUUUCGUUUGACUGUGCUGAUUGACACCUCUUCAAAACUAUGCAUAAGGUAUCUCACGUCAGUAAUCAAAGGGAAUAGUGAGGAGAGAUUAGCAUCUUUGCUCUUCAGCA
Molecule: long non-coding RNA, 667 nt
Organism: Triticum aestivum (bread wheat)
Lineage: Eukaryota; Viridiplantae; Streptophyta; Magnoliopsida; Poales; Poaceae
Exons: 2
Source: RefSeq, a predicted model, not a curated record